Anas platyrhynchos (mallard) is the source of this 334-nucleotide non-coding RNA. The record is from RefSeq and is a predicted model, not a curated record. NCBI's taxonomy places the organism in Eukaryota, Metazoa, Chordata, Aves, Anseriformes, Anatidae.
GGUCACCACGGGAGGAGCCACGGGGGUGUCAUGCAGCUGCUUAGGCUUUAGCCUGAAAUUAAUGCUGAUGAGGUUCACCUGGGGAGCCAUCUUCUGGAAUGUGGAAAAAGCCACAGGCUUCCUCUUAAAAAGCACAGGCAAAAAGCUACAGGUAUUUUCAGCCAGACGUCAUUUUUAAUCGAGAGUUUCCCUUUGCUGCCUCACUGGGGAAUGAAGGUAACUGUCAGGAGUUUUCCACAGUGAGCAGUUCCUGGCAUUGUGUUUUGCUCCCCGUGGUGCCCUCCAGAGCCCCUCUCCCUGCAGGGGUUGAGCCAGGACAUGGGUCAAGCAGCGA